UUUUUCUUCAGGGCAUUCCUGGAGAUCCUGGACACAGACGAAUGCCAGGACACAGGGGAGACAUGGGUAACCCUGGGCCGAAGGGUGUGUCAGGUCGAGGAGGGACCUGGGGCAGAGAUGGUGAGCAUGGCCUGGAUGGACAGCCAGGGCCACCGGGAUUGCCUGGGCUUCAGGGUCCUACAGGCUAUAAGGGAGAGAAUGCUCCUCCAGGGGAGAGAGGAGAUGAGGGUUUCACUGGCAAGACAGGUCCAUGUGGAGACAGAGGGAAGACUGGAGAGAAGGUAACUUUUUAAAUAUCAAAAUUGCUACUCUUUAAACCUUUUUUAUUCUUAAAGUGGGAAGUAGGCUGAUGUUGUUCUGCACAUGUCCACAAAGUGUUAUUGCACUGCUCUCUAGUGGAUGGAAACAUCAAUGGCUGCUUUGCUCAACACCAGACCUGGUUUCUUUUCAACUCAUCCAAGCCUGUUUGGAACAUGCUUGUAUUUUUUUUGCACUUUCACUAUCAAGGGCACACUUAGAAUAUUUGUAUAUAUUAUAUUAAAUAUAUUAAUUCACUUUUCACGAUCAUGAUCAUCUGUAGCCUAUGCUUAUUAAUGUAGUUUUCCCCAAGUGUAGACAUAUUUCUUGCUAUGUUCUCCAGGGUUCUAAAGGAGAGCCAGGGGAACCAGGUUCUGUUGGCCCACUUGUGAGUAGAACACUUUUAUCCUCUGGCCCUAAUUCAGCUCUCAAAUGCUGAUAAGUGCUGAUGUUUUGACUGUACUGUGGGUAAUACAGAUGUGGUUUAUUAAGCUUGUGCAUCAUACAAUAACUAUUUUAAUUUCAGGGGCCGGUUGGUAAAAGAGGAGUCCAAGGAUUUUCAGGGUCACUUGGGCCUCAGGUAAGACUUUGAAUAACAAUCAAUAAUCCUAAUGGAAUACAACUGUGUUACAAUCCAUGCAGCCACACUAUUUGAUGGUGGGGUGUUCUAGAUCAGUGGUUUCCAACUCCAGUCCUCCAGUACCCUCAACAGCACACAUGUUUGUUGUUGCUCUGAACAAAAAACAACUGGUGCAGGUGUCCCUAUCUCUUCUGUUUUUCAGGGUGAUUCUGGGUAUGAUGGCGCCCAAGGUCCAUUUGGGCCAAUGGUGAGUGUAGGAGUAUCAUGCAAGCUCUUACGGUUACUAUCACAUCUACCUACUUUACUGCUGCAGUCAGAACACACUUGACAAAUCAGUGCAGACGUACCACUUGCACAGGAAAACAAUGGCCGUUGUUUUUUUUGUGUUUGCCUAUUCACAUAUGUACUGUAUGUGCCCAAACAGGGGGCUCCAGGUGUUACUGGUAUGAUUGGAGCACAGGGGGUGAACGGCUCAAGGGUCAGUAUACUGUAUAUACCAAUGCAUAGUGGGCAGUGGAUUGAUGAUUGAUUGGCACAGACCAAAAUUGUGUAGCUGGUCUGCACUCAAAAUGGAGAUUCAAGGUUUCUAUUUCAUUCAGGAGUGGGUAGAUCAACAAACAUUUUGGCCUAAGCCUUCAACAGUGUCAUCCUCCUAAGGUGAGAUUCUUUAGUGUGAGCUCAUUAAAGGUAAUGACCAACAGGUGCAUUCAUGUGUGCUCUCCUGGAACAGACACACAUUUUUUAUUUCACCAGUCAAGUCCGUUAAGCUCCAAUUUUUAUUUUCAAUGACAGCCUUAUUCAGGGGUAGAAGGACAGAUUUUGACCUUGUCAGCUCAGGAAUUCGACCUUGCAAACUCUUAAUUACUAGUCCAACGCUCUAACCACUAGGCUACCUGCCGCCCCUCAAUAAGCCAUCUCAAUA
Molecule: long non-coding RNA, 1799 nt
Filed under: Oncorhynchus mykiss (rainbow trout)
Lineage: Eukaryota; Metazoa; Chordata; Actinopteri; Salmoniformes; Salmonidae
Description: lncRNA (ENSOMYG00000051859.1)
Source: RNAcentral